UGAGUUAGCUGCCUGGAUUAAUCAGUAUGGGAAACAAUCUUUUGUAAACGCAAAGCUGUUUUUUGUAUAUACUGUUGGGAUUUGCCUCAUUGUUUGACAUCAAAGAUGAUGUAAAGUUCAAGAGAGUGAAUAUUUUGCCAUGUUCAGUUAAAAAUGUGCAGUCUGUUACAGGUUGACACAUUGGUUGACCUGAUUUAUGCAGAAUUAAUAAGCUAUUCAGAUAGUGUAGCUUUAGUAUGCUGCACAUGAUACUGGCAGCCUGGGAGUUCAUAGAUGGACUUGGGACCCAGCAGAUUUGAAACAUGUAUAU
This 310-nucleotide long non-coding RNA is filed under the name Bos taurus (domestic cattle). Its description in RNAcentral is "long non-coding RNA NONBTAT021946". Lineage: Eukaryota; Metazoa; Chordata; Mammalia; Artiodactyla; Bovidae. The record is from RNAcentral.